UCCACGCCGUAAACGAUGAGCACUAGGUGUCGGGGUCGCAAGACUUCGGUGCCGCAGUUAACGCAUUAAGUGCUCCGCCUGGGGAGUACGCACGCAAGUGUGAAACUCAAAGGAAUUGACGGGGACCCGCACAAGCAGCGGAGCAUGUGGUUUAAUUCGAAGCAACGCGAAGAACCUUACCAGGACUUGACAUCCCUCUGACAGUCCCUUAACCGGGAUCUCCUUCGGGCAGAGGUGACAGGUGGUGCAUGGUUGUCGUCAGCUCGUGUCGUGAGAUGUUGGGUUAAGUCCCGCAACGAG
This 300-nucleotide ribosomal RNA is filed under the name uncultured bacterium. Its description in RNAcentral is "bacterial SSU rRNA". It matches the Rfam family "Bacterial small subunit ribosomal RNA", at positions 794 to 1096 of the family's 1533-position model. The record is from RNAcentral.